This 253-nucleotide ribosomal RNA is filed under the name uncultured bacterium. Its description in RNAcentral is "partial 16S ribosomal RNA". It matches the Rfam family "Bacterial small subunit ribosomal RNA", at positions 524 to 776 of the family's 1533-position model. The record is from RNAcentral.
UACAGAGGUCUCAAGCGUUGUUCGGAUUCACUGGGCUUAAAGGGUGCGUAGGUGGGCAGUUAAGUCAGUGGUGAAAUCUCCGGGCUCAACCCGGAAACUGCCAUUGAUACUAUCUGUCUUGAAUAUCGUGGAGGUAAGCGGAAUAUGUCAUGUAGCGGUGAAAUGCUUAGAUAUGACAUAGAACACCAAUUGCGAAGGCAGCUUACUGCCCGAAUAUUGACACUGAGGCACGAAAGCGUGGGGAGCAAACAGG